This 275-nucleotide ribosomal RNA is filed under the name uncultured bacterium. Its description in RNAcentral is "partial 16S ribosomal RNA". It matches the Rfam family "Bacterial small subunit ribosomal RNA", at positions 399 to 691 of the family's 1533-position model. The record is from RNAcentral.
GCGUGAGUGAUGAAGGCCUUAGGGUUGUAAAGCUCUUUUACCCGGGAUGAUAAUGACAGUACCGGGAGAAUAAGCCCCGGCUAACUCCGUGCCAGCAGCCGCGGUAAUACGGAGGGGGCUAGCGUUGUUCGGAAUUACUGGGCGUAAAGCGCGCGUAGGCGGCUUUGUAAGUUAGAGGUGAAAGCCCAGAGCUCAACUCUGGAACUGCCUUUAAGACUGCAUCGCUUGAAUCAUGGAGAGGUCAGUGGAAUUCCGAGUGUAGAGGUGAAAUUCGU